GUUGACAAGAGUUGGGAUAUGACUGGACAUUCGAAAACGGCAAGGGCAUGUCAUGUGUGAGGGGAGGCGUAGCAAGGAUUGUAGAGUAAAAAGGAAGACUGUGGUCUGAUCCAUGGUUGGUAAGGCAGGGACGUUUCAACUUUCAAAAUUCAAGUAUUCAAUUUCAAUCCCCCCUCCUGGAGCACUGGAGCAAUCAGCCAAAACCAAAAAACGACCCAUCAUCAUUCAUCAGAUGUCACAAACAAAACCUAACUUAGAUUAGAUGCCCUUUCACUUUCCUUGUAGGCUGAAAACCCCUCAGAAAUGCUCAAAUUUACAACGUUAGACCCUAAUCACCACCACCACGGCACCAUUACCACCGCCACCACAUUUAGCAUGCUCAGACUAGAAGCACAACGUAAUGACUAACGUCAAUAUCAGAUCCUCUGCGACAAUGUCUCACCGUAACAGCCCCGCGCAAGCUCUUCCCUUAGUAGUAACCAUCAACUGCAUCGAGGAUUGCGCGAUCGAGCAAGGCUCUCUAGCCGGCGUC
Molecule: unclassified non-coding RNA, 532 nt
Filed under: Hevea brasiliensis (rubber tree)
Lineage: Eukaryota; Viridiplantae; Streptophyta; Magnoliopsida; Malpighiales; Euphorbiaceae
Source: RNAcentral